RNAcentral lists this ribosomal RNA (497 nucleotides) under uncultured bacterium. RNAcentral's name for it is "partial 16S ribosomal RNA". It matches the Rfam family "Bacterial small subunit ribosomal RNA", at positions 28 to 507 of the family's 1533-position model. The record is from RNAcentral.
GAUGAACGCUGGCGGCGUGCCUAAUACAUGCAAGUCGAGCGAACAGACGAGGAGCUUGCUCCUCUGACGUUAGCGGCGGACGGGUGAGUAACACGUGGAUAACCUACCUAUAAGACUGGGAUAACUUCGGGAAACCGGAGCUAAUACCGGAUAAUAUAUUGAACCGCAUGGUUCAAUAGUGAAAGACGGUUUUGCUGUCACUUAUAGAUGGAUCCGCGCCGCAUUAGCUAGUUGGUAAGGUAACGGCUUACCAAGGCAACGAUGCGUAGCCGACCUGAGAGGGUGAUCGGCCACACUGGAACUCAGACACGGUCCAGACUCCUACGGGAGGCAGCAGUAGGGAAUCUUCCGCAGUGGGCGAAAGCCUGACGGAGCAACGCCGCGUGAGUGAUGAAGGUCUUCGGAUCGUAAAACUCUGUUAUUAGGGAAGAACAAAUGUGUAAGUAACUAUGCACGUCUUGACGGUACCUAAUCAGAAAGCCACGGCUAACUACGUG